UAAGGCGGUGAAAACAAGGGUUUCGGUGACUGUUAAAUGAGGAUAUAGAAUGUCAUCUUGAGUGACAAAACCGGUGUACCGCUUCAUGAUACUUGAAAACGGUUUGCCAUUGUAGGUGAUGGUCCCGUCUAGCUUGCCACCUAGGCGGCCACCUAAUGCGGUUAAAAGGGUAGUUUUUCCACAUCCGGAUGGCCCUAACAUGGCUAACAUUUCUCCGGGCAACACCAUGCCGGUUAUUCCUUUGAGUAUCUGUUUCUCUGUAGGCUCGUGGUUUUUCUUUCUUUUUAUCCAUCCUUGUUUCUUGUUUUUGAUGGUGUAAACCACUUCUUGAAACUGUUCAAUUAAAUAAUCGGAAUAAUAAGUUUAUAACAUAUAAACACUUUUUUUUUCGAAAAAGGAUGAAAAAUGAACCUUUAGUGUAACCGGAUGAUCGACUUUGUUGAAGAUUGAUGGAGGGGAUGAGGUUUGAGCUGAUGAUUGAGCCUCUAUAUCUACCAUUUGGGUUGCCAUUUGAAUAUUUUUUUUCCUAAUUCUGAUUUACAAAUAAAAAAAUGGUAUAUGUUGUUAUUUACAUACAUACAUACAUGUGAUUCGUUAAUUGUAUGUUGGUGUAUUAUAUAGUAAGAGAACCGAAUUAAGGUGAAAUAAAAGUCAUGCAAUAGAGGUGUGCGGGUUUAUGGCACAUACCCUUGAUUUGGUGUAAGAGAAUAGAGAUGGAGAAGGAAGUCAUGCAAUAGACAUGUGCGUUUAUGAUGUGUUCCCAUGUAUUUGGGAUGAUUUGGUGUGAUAGUUUGUGUUGGGUGAAAUAUUUGUUUGUGUAAACAAAAUGUUUUUUUUUUGAAAGAGAAUGUUUGUUUGUAUUUGAUUCAGCAAUGUUUUUUUUUUAAAUGACAUUCAGUGUCACGUUUUUGUUAUGAUCAAAUGUGUAACAUUUUAUUUGUAACUUGUUUAACGGAUUGAAAUAUGAAUGAAUAUUCUGUUAAGGUAAGUUGCAUAAAUUGGGAAAAGAUAAAAACGAAAUAUGAUUGCAUAAAUUAUUGGUUAACAAAGUGAAAGAUUGUUGUUGUGUAAGUAUUUGAAAAUGGUAAACCGUGUCCAUGUCACAAGACCCAUCACAUUGGGUGUAAAUCAUAGAACAAAAUUAGCAAUACUUUGCCUUUGGGUAUGUACAACUUUGAAUCAUGGACCUCCUUUAUAGAAUUUCACAUGUAUACUCCAGUUCUCAUCUCAGCUCAGGGGUAAAAUUAAAAUCAUCUUGUCGUUAUUGUGGUUUUUUUAGAACUUAUCUUUUUAUGUUCCAAAUUUUUAUGAUAGUUUUGGAUUUUAAUGUGUUUAGGCUCUAGUUAUUGAUCUUCUGGAUGGUGCUCAAGAAAGAGUUACUAAUUCAUUGUCAUUGCUGAUGCCAUUCUGAUUGAUGUUUCAAGCUAGUAAAGUUCAUUGCUAAAUUUGGUGAUUAGUCAUUGUUCAUUUCUAUUCUUGGUAUGUUGUUUUUUGUUUGGAUUUUAUUGGUAUAAAUCUCAAAAUCCUGCUAAUUGUCUUCUAAUGGUGCUUUGUAUUAGUUCUUUUUUAUUUUAUUUUUAAAUAUUUAAUAUAUUAAUAAGUAAUAAAAAAAUUAUAUAUAAUAUAUGUGAUGCGGUGCAGUUUUUAUUUUUAUUUAUUUAUUUUUUUUGCGGUUUUUGAAAACUAAAAGCUGUACCGCACUGCAAGUUUGUAGUUUUUGAAAAACAGAAAAUCUCACCAUCGUUUCCGUUGCAGUUUCGGUUUAUUGGUUGCGGCUUAUGUGGUUUUUUCAGGUUUUUAGUUGCGGUACGGUUGGAAAUGUUGAACAUAGUCGGGAAUCGGUAAGGCUUGGUAUACACGACAUGAGGGUCUCGUAGUGAGGAAGGAGAUGGUUGACUUUCGUGGUGUAUACCAUGAAAGACCAUAGCCAAUAGCUUCUCUUCCUCUCUCUUUCUCUCAUUUCGUUGCAAGUACACCACCAAUGGUGUAAUGGUGUGGAAGGAGAUGACGAUGUGGUGGAGUUGUUUGGCGUGUCCUCAUACCCGAUGGCCUAAUAGAAGCUACUUAGAAGUUGUUUGAUAGUUGUUAGCUAGGUUAGAGCUGACUGAGCUAGAAGCCGAUUGGGUUAGAAGUUAUGAAUUAACUUCUGAUUGAAACUUGAUAUUUGAUUUUGCAUCCGAUUGGUAGUGCAAAAUAACUAUAUUUUUUAUAAUAAUUUCUUUAUGAUUUACCAUUUAACUUAUAACAUUAUAAAAAUAUACAAAGUUAUUGGUUUGAUAUAAAAACAUUCUCGAUUAGCCACACCCAUCAUCCUCUCGCAACUAUUACCACCUUCUUUGAAGGUUAACAACUAUGCAACAUACAACAGUUAGUACCUAAAUUAAACCGAAAUCAGUCCCAAUCUAUGCAUCAACCCACUAAUAUUAAUAACCAAACUAUAUGUAUCACUUACAGUUAGGGCCGGCAAUUCUUGACACGACACGCGACACGAUCCGUGACACGACACGAAAUAAAUGGGUUUGAGCUGAGUUUUUCAACCCGCCAACCCGUUUAUUAAACGGGUCAUAUAUGGGUUUCUCAAAAAAUAAAUGGGUUGACCUGCCAACCCGUUUAUAUUCUUAAUAAAAAAAAUUAUUUUAUUUUUAAAUGUAUUUAUGUAUCAACUAUUAAUAUUUAAUAAGUUUUAUAUAAUAUAUACCAUUGAUUAGACCAUUUGACUGUUUUGAUAUUUUGACUCGUGGUGGAUGGUCUAAGGUUAUAAGUCGUAACCUAUAAGGCUAAGUCUGUAACAUGUUUCUAUGAAUGUUUUUAAUUUUCAUUUGGAUGUUUAAAACUUAAAUGUCUAAAAUUCGGACCCACGAACCCGCCAACCUGUAACCCGUAAAAAUAAAUGGGUUGGUGGGUCAUAUAUGAGUUUAUGUUCCAAACUCGCCAACCCGUUACCCGACAACCCGUGACCUGUAUAUUUAAAUGGGUCGUGUUUGGGUUGACAUAUUUUGACCCGCCAACCUGCGACACGCCAACCCGAACACGACACGAUUGCCAGACCUACUUACAGGAAAUCACAAUUAUACUUGUGAAUGAUUCAUAAACCGGAAACUUUCAUCUUAUAUGUAAUUAAUGUUAAAAGACUAAUUCAAAGCUAAGAAGAUUAGAAGAUUGGAGUGGGAAUUGAUUCACCUUUAGGUAGACUUAUAGUCAUAUGUUGAGUGUUAUCUCUUGUGUACGUAUGUAUAUUUGUUUAAAUAAUAAACCAAACAAACAUAAUCUUGUUGUUUUUUUAACAGUUGGUUAGUGGUUAGAACAACAAUUAAACUUAUCAAUCUAGAACUCAAACUUUAGUCAUUUAAGCUUAACGAACUCCAAGGCACUUUAAAGUCCAAAUUCAAAGAGUAUCCGCCAUUCAAGCAUUAAUACUUAUGAAAUCCUAAGAAAAUUUUCCAAAAUAUGAUUCGUUUAAAAAUGUGCAAUAGAAAACAGUGAUUUUGUGAAAUUAGUUAAUUGAGUGAAAACAGAAGGAUAAGAAGAAACCAAUAGAAUUAGAACAAAUUGACAAGCAGUCGAUAGCAAUCAACAAAGUUGAAAGCGAUUUUGAUUUUGUGAAAUUGACUCAGUCAAUAGCCAACAUCUUGUUAUUAAAAAUUAAAAAAAAAACAAACAAACAAACAAACAAACUCACCUAAGGAAGACGACGGCGCGGAGGAGGAAUUCGACAGCAUCGUCGGCGUUGCUGAAACAGCGAACGGAGUGCCUAAGCGAUGGUGGCCGGUCUCGUUUCAACGGCCAUUUGAGGAAGAAGGAUGGAGUGUAAAUGUUAUCCGGGUAUUAAAGGGCUUUGGUGGCUAAGGAAGAAGAUGGUUGUGAUGUUGAUCAAAGGGAAAAAGGAGCAGAUGAUGGAAAUGAUCUAAUCCAACACUUUUUUUUCUUGGACUGAGUCGGAGGAUUUCAAAAGGUUGUGGAUCUAGUUAGAGGCUAUAUUUGAUAGCAUCAAACACACAAGAAUUAGAUCAUGUCAGCAAAAACUUUUUACUGGACUAUGUCAGAAUUAAAAGACAAUCAAACAACCCUGCAAACAUUGUACAUUAUUGUUGGAAUUGUUUUAUAUCAACAUUUUAAUUUACUAUCAAAUAUUAUUUAUAGCUCAUGAGAAUGAUAUAUUUAUUUUCAACAACAUACUUUCUCUCACUUCAAUUUUAUUAAGAGAACAAUGAUAAAGUUCUAUGUGGUUUGCUAUUCUACUUAGAGUUUAAGAAGUUUUCAAAUAAAAAAUGCCUUUUUUUUAGAAUGUUUUAUUAUAGUUUGGUCUCGUAACUUAAACCGUUAGUGUUAUUAUGUUGAGUGAUGCUAAUAUGACUCUUUUACUUUCAUUUUGUAUUUCUUUUAUGUAACUGAGUGAGCUCAAUUUUUGUCCCACCUUUUCAAGAACAUCCCUAAAUCUAUGCCCCUUUGUAUUCGUUUAAUUGCCUAUGUUGUCAUCGAUGAUUGUAUGGUUCAUAUCAAAUCUAUAAAAUAUUUGUAGGGUUCUCUUUAGAAAAAAAUAAAAUCGAACGAUGAAAUGGAAAGAUAUGAUAACAUUAUUGUAACGACCCAAUUUUCACGACCAAAAAUUUCAUUUUUGUUUAAGUAAUUUGCACAACAUUUGUAUCAAAAUAUCAAUCGAUCAUAUCAUUUAAUAAAAGCAUGUCUCGUAUCUGAAAACCGAAUCGUAAAAACAUAAUAAUGUUAGAGUACAAAUCCCAGAAUAACUCAUAGUGUGGAAAACAAAGAGUGUGCGUAUGAUGUGCCGCUACCGCGCCAGCUCCUUCCCCUUCGCUGAAGAGGUACCUGAAACCAAAACUGUAAACUGUAAACAUGAAGCUUAGUGAGUUCCCCCAUUGUACCACAUACCAUACAAUCACAUAGCAUACAUAAUGUCGGGCAAUUCUGGGGUGCCCGACCUACCCGGUAUGUCCAUUCUGGGGUGCCGACCUACCCGUGUCAAGCUAUUCUGGGGUGCUGACCUACCCGUCGGUCCUAACAACCGACCCUCGGGGACUAAUCCACCCCUAUUGUUGCUAUCACAUAUAUCAUAACAUGAACAUACUAUCAGACAUAUUUGGGGUGUCCGAACUACCCUUCGGUCCUAACAUAUAUCAUAACAUGAACAUAAUGUGUAUGUUCAACACCAACGGUCAAGGGACAGUUACGUUCAGAAAAUGAACUUGUCAGGUUCUGAACCUGAACUGAAAUGUCAUGCCAGGUUCAGAACCUGGCAAUAUGCCAAUAUGUUCUUUGUUGGACUCCUAUCCUAGGGUUGUAAUGAAACAAUAUUUUCAAUGUUUAUACCAUUUGCAAGAUCUAGCAAAAAGUCGGAAGGAUUCAUGGCGACCGAUGGCGAAAAUCCAAUACUGUUAAAAUAAUCCAUAACUUCCGAUCCUUUACCAAAAAACAACGAAUUCCCUUCCGAUAACAACAACACCUUAUGAAACAUGUAAAAAAGCCUACUUGAAGGUUGAUGAAUCGUCAUAACAAUUGUUCUUCCGCCUCUUGCUAACUCCCAUAAAGUCAAAGCAAUCCUUUGAGCAGUUGUUGAAUCAAGCCCAGAUGUUGGCUCAUCCAAGAACAACAAACUAGGGUUUAUAAGCAUUUCUUGCCCGAUACUAACUCUUUUUCUCUCUCCACCCGACACCCCUCUUAAAUUCGGCCCACCGAUGAUAAUAUUCUUGCAUCUUGUUAACCUAAGUUGGUCGAUCACCGCUUCCGCAUGCGUGAUCUUUUCUUGAGUUGUGAGCUUUUUAGGCAAGCGGAGUAAGGCAAUGAAAACAAGGGUUUCGGUGACUGUUAAAUGAGGAUAUAGAAUGUCAUCUUGAGUGACAAAACCGGUGUACCGCUUCAUGAUACUUGAAAACGGUUUGCCAUUGUAGGUGAUGGUCCCGUCUAGCUUGCCACCUAGGCGGCCACCUAAUGCGGUUAAAAGGGUAGUUUUUCCACAUCCGGAUGGCCCUAACAUGGCUAACAUUUCUC
RNAcentral lists this long non-coding RNA (6003 nucleotides) under Lactuca sativa (garden lettuce). RNAcentral describes it as "long non-coding RNA (LSAT_LNC004850)". The record is from RNAcentral. Lineage: Eukaryota; Viridiplantae; Streptophyta; Magnoliopsida; Asterales; Asteraceae.